Molecule: ribosomal RNA, 303 nt
Filed under: Triticum aestivum (bread wheat)
Lineage: Eukaryota; Viridiplantae; Streptophyta; Magnoliopsida; Poales; Poaceae
Description: partial small subunit ribosomal RNA
Source: RNAcentral
AUGCAGAAUCGUUUCGGUCUACUUGUCACGGACAUGAUGCCUAUAUACAUGAUCAUGCCUAGAUAUUCUCAUAAUUAUGCUCAAUUCUGUCAAUUGCUCAACAGUAAUUUGUUCACCCACCGUAGAAAACUUAUGCUCUCGAGAGAAGCCACUAGUGAAACCUAUGGCCCCCGGGUCUAUUCUCAUCAUAUCAAUCUCCAUCACUUUAAUCUUGUUUUGUUUUUACUUUGCCUUUUACUUUUCAAUUUGCAUCUUUAUAUCAAAAAUACCAAAAAUAUUAUCUAUCGGAUCUCACUUCCGUAA